Molecule: transfer RNA, 87 nt
Filed under: Rhodospirillaceae bacterium
Lineage: Bacteria; Pseudomonadati; Pseudomonadota; Alphaproteobacteria; Rhodospirillales; Rhodospirillaceae
Also listed under: 1 other name
Description: tRNA-Leu
Rfam family: tRNA
About the family: Transfer RNA (tRNA) molecules are approximately 80 nucleotides in length. Their secondary structure includes four short double-helical elements and three loops (D, anti-codon, and T loops). Further hydrogen bonds mediate the characteristic L-shaped molecular structure. tRNAs have two regions of fundamental functional importance: the anti-codon, which is responsible for specific mRNA codon recognition, and the 3' end, to which the tRNAs corresponding amino acid is attached (by aminoacyl-tRNA synthetases). tRNAs cope with the degeneracy of the genetic code in two manners: having more than one tRNA (with a specific anti-codon) for a particular amino acid; and 'wobble' base-pairing, i.e. permitting non-standard base-pairing at the 3rd anti-codon position.
Source: RNAcentral
GCCCCCUUGGCGGAAUUGGCAGACGCACGGGACUUAAAAUCCCGAGACUUAACAGUCGUCCCGGUUCGAGUCCGGGAGGGGGCACCA